GACGAACGCUGGCGGCGUGCUUAACACAUGCAAGUCGAACGGUGAACCCCUUCGGGGGGGAUCAGUGCGAACGGGUGAGUAACACGUGAGCAACCUGCCCCUGACUCGUGGGAUAACCCCGGGAACCGGAGCUAAUACCGGAUAUGACACCUUCGGGCAUCCGAUGGGUGUGGAAAGAUUUAUCGGUUGGGGAUGGGCUCGCGGCCUAUCAGCUUGUUGGUGGGGUAAUGGCCUACCAAGGCGACGACGGGGUAGCCGGCCUGAGAGGGCGGACCGGCCACACUGGGACUGAGACACGGCCCAGACUCCUACGGGAGGCAGCAGUGGGGAAUAUUGCACAAUGGGCGCAAGCCUGAUGCAGCGACGCCGCGU
This 372-nucleotide ribosomal RNA is filed under the name uncultured bacterium. RNAcentral's name for it is "bacterial SSU rRNA". It matches the Rfam family "Bacterial small subunit ribosomal RNA", at positions 28 to 402 of the family's 1533-position model. The record is from RNAcentral.